AGUUCAUUUAAAUGACCCGCCACGCUUCGUUUGGAACUAUUCGGCGGCUACAUGAAUCACGCGACCCUCUCGCGUUCUGACCCCUCAUUGACGCAACUCUCUCUUUCUAGGGCUCUGGAGCUGCCUCCCCGGCACCUUCAAGCCACUCCCCCGGCUUGGACGCGCCGGAAACAUCCGAGCGCUCGGCUCGCGCUUUGAGGAGACGAGCGCUGCGCUGCACCAGGUGUUUGCCAUCAUCUAUCAGGUACACCUGCGGCAGUCAGGCAGCCUCCCACCAGAAGCCUCCCAGGGCUUCGACGUACUGAGCCCUGCGACCCUCCCUCCGCGACUUCCACUGCUCCCUUCGUCUCCCUCGCUCCUCAUCUCCAGUGACCUUCACGUUUUCCCCGGACCUCUCCAGCGAUCUCCCUCCGCAUCUCUCUCCCUGGACCCCUCCCUUCGGACUUGACUUCCUGGAUCUCGGACCCGGACUUCCUCGGACAACCCCUUGCUCUACGGAUUCGGACUUUGCACAGUGUCCAGAGCAUGGAGGAGGUACCAGGAGACAGGCCAGUACACCAGGAGACGUGAAGGG
Long non-coding RNA from Lampris incognitus (smalleye Pacific opah), 574 nucleotides. RefSeq lists it as uncharacterized. The record is from RefSeq and is a predicted model, not a curated record. Lineage: Eukaryota; Metazoa; Chordata; Actinopteri; Lampriformes; Lampridae. The transcript is spliced from 3 exons.